Molecule: ribosomal RNA, 446 nt
Filed under: uncultured bacterium
Lineage: Bacteria
Description: SSU rRNA
Rfam family: Bacterial small subunit ribosomal RNA
Source: RNAcentral
AGAGCGAACGCUGGCGGCAGGCCUAACACAUGCAAGUCGAGCGCCCGUAGCAAUACGGGAGCGGCAGACGGGAGAGUAACACGUGGGAACGCGCCCUUCGGUUCGGAAUAACUCAGGGAAACUUGAGCUAAUACCGGAUACGCCCUUACGGGGAAAGAUUUAUUGCCGAAGGAACGGCCCGCGUCCGAUUAGCUAGUUGGUGAGGUAAUGGCUCACCAAGGCGACGAUCGGUAGCUGGUCUGAGAGGAUGACCAGCCUCACUGGGACUGAGACACGGCCCAGACUCCUACGGGAGGCAGCAGUGGGGAAUAUUGGACAAUGGGCGCAAGCCUGAUCCAGCCAUGCCGCGUGGAUGAUGAAGGCCCUAGGGUUGUAAAGUCCUUUUAACGGGGAAGAUAAUGACGGUACCCGUAGAAUAAGCCCGGCUAACUUCGUGCAGCAGCCGC